UGCAACCAGAGGACUCGUUCCCUCCCCGCCUGCAGAGAGAAAGCGGGUUUGAGCCACUUCCGCCUUGGCUUCACUUUUCACACCGGGCCAAAUGCUUCGCCCCCUUCUCACAGGCGGCCUAGAGGUGCUAUCUUACGGUCCUCUCGUAGACAGCCUGUGGGUGCCAUCCGUGUGUUGGUGUGAGCACUUUAACCCUCCCGCGGUGCGUUUUCAGUCCAAUAAAGUUGAUGUUAACAUUGCGGCUAGUCGAGUAAGAUGUCUUGCUCGGCCUACGGUUGUUCAAGGAGACAUUCAAAGGGCUCAGACGUCAAUUUCUUCCGAUUUCCUCUGGGUGAUAAUGAAAGGCUGACGCAAUGGUUGCUGAACGUGAGAAGAAGGAACUGGAUCCCGUCUAAAAGUUCGCGUCUGUGCAGUACGCACUUUAAGGAGGAUCAGUUCUUCAUAGACAAGGAGGUAGACGGAUACAUUUCAGUGCAUUAACUCACACAGUGAAUUUUCUAAACGUUCCAAUGCGUCGUUGCGAAAGCUGUUGAAAUACCAGACCUGUCGUGGAGGUGACUUAUCAGUAAAGACGUAUCUGAAUGUGUGGAUAGCAGCAUUUAAUGAAACCACCGCUCGACCAGAUGACGUCCGUGAUCCUGAUGGCUCCCUUUUCAUUUUUACCAACCUCUACUCAAGUUUCAUUACAACUGCCAAAACUUGGGCAAGAGGAGGCUGAAGGAGACUGCCGUGCCGACCAUUUUUGUAUUUCAAAACCAUUGGUUGAUAGAGGAUGUAACUAACGCGACCACACAGACUAACCUGCUGCGUUUGACCAACAUUGACAAUGGACCUUAUAACAUUGCCCAUGCGGAGCAAGCGCCUAUCGAGGAGGACGAUGCCUUGGACGAUGUCGUGGAUGAUGCCGAGGGUGUUUUUACCGACGUCCUUGACGAUGACAUUGUCAGGGUUAUUGUCGGUGCCGAUGUCGACGAGGUUGUUUCUGAUGACACAACUGAGGGUGCGACGAGCGUAAGCUCACAAUCAGCUUUGCAUGAUCACAGCUACCGGAGUCUGAAACAAGAGCAGAUCUAUGUGGGCACCGAUCACAACUACAUUGUUUCUGGUUCUCCCAGGACGUUGAAACGUAAAGUGGACGCAGUGCAAGAUCAGCUUGUCUUGGCUCACAAAAAGCUGAAGUUAAAGUGUCAGGAGACGAGGAGAAUGAAGUCGAGACUCUUGUCCAUGAAAAAUCUGACACAGGAGCUGAAGAAGAAGUUGAAUGCGGUUGAAAAAGCUCUUGCAGCAGUUCAUAAAUAAUGGAGGUCCAGCUCAAAGCUUCGGGGAAGAAGCUGUUCAGAAGUCUGUUAAUGUUAAAAGUCUCUUGUAGAGAUGCACAAAUUGCAUUUUUUUUAACUGCAAGGCUCCAGACUGUAUAUACUGUGUGUGUAUAUAUAUAUAUAUAUAUAUAUAUAUAUAUAUAUUUUUAUACCACCGUCUCUGAACAGUCCUGAAAAUAAUUUUCAGCUGUCCGGAAGUCAUUAUGAACCGUCAAAAACUUUAAUUGUUACCCUUUUACUUUGUUAUUCCCCUCUAUAGUGGUUAUUUGCAUACAACACACAUUUCAAAUGAAUUGGAAAUAAAUUAUUGUAUUUUAUUUAAAAGUACUUGCCAUUUUUUGCUAAUAAAUCUUGUAGUAGUAGUAGUUUUAGUUCAUAAUUCCCUCUCUUAUACCUGUUUUAUAUAGCGGAUAAAAAAACAUCUCCUUUUAAACAACUGUAUUUAUUUAGGUUCCUCCCCAGAAAUACAUUUUACAAUUGAACCCAUCAUGAUUGCGUAAUGUACGUUUGUCCAACACUCGUUUUCCAUUAGUGAAGCUUGAACGCAUCACAAUCAAGUCGAUGCAACCUCUGGUAACGUUGGCCGUUAUCGCCGAUAUUAGCAGGAGCUGCAUCUCUAUAGUCUUCUGGUGGACUUAACUCCUCAUCUCUGAACGGAACAAAAAGCUGACCGAGUGUUUAAAUGUGACGUUGCCCCGGUAACAACCUCUCUAAAUAAGUGAUGCUCUUUAAAGGAGCAGCGUUUAGGAGUUAGUCCAUUCUGGGCUAUGGCAGUGCAAUAUGAAGGAAGUAUUCUGAGGUAACGACAACAGAACAAUUAUUAAGUUUCAAGUGGCUAUUAAUGAAUGAAUAUUGUAUUCCAUUUCUGCCCAUGAAUCUCCCUAAAUCCUACACACUGUUCAUUUAAUGGAAACAGCUAAAAUAUAAUUUCCCCUUUGUGGCAAAUAUGACCCCAGGAGUGUCAAACCUUACGUGAGGGUGAUGUACAAA
Cyclopterus lumpus (lumpfish) is the source of this 2309-nucleotide RNA transcript. It is a transcript of the gene named THAP domain-containing protein 5-like, with no coding region annotated. NCBI's taxonomy places the organism in Eukaryota, Metazoa, Chordata, Actinopteri, Perciformes, Cyclopteridae. The transcript is spliced from 3 exons. The record is from RefSeq and is a predicted model, not a curated record.